CUGGGAGAUGACCUGGGGCACCACGCCCUGCCUAUCUCAGACAAGGAACUCCAGGCAGCAGUGGCGAAGCUAAGCAGCUCCAUCCUUAAGGGGCGGAGGCCGGCUCAUAUUUGCCUAUUAGGGCCGUGGGACGCCGAGGUUCUGCUGGGUCCCUCCUGGAAAUAGAUCCUUCCCAGCCAGCACCCGAAGUCAGCAGCAGAGGGCAAAGCACCUGGGCUUUAUUUAGCUCCAAGCUCCACGAUCCUCCUGGGACUGAGAUAUCUUUGUCAUUUACCUGGGAUUUACAGGGACCAAAAAGCUGGACAUCAUUCACCACUGGGAACAGCAUAUUGUUCCUGGAAGAGGCAAAAGCCUAGGGCUUCAAGAUGCCGGGGCUUUAAGAAACCAAGGCAUGACCUCAAGUGAUUUGCCGGAGGUGGCCUCGGUGGCAGCAGUCAUUGAAGAAAGGAAGACAGCUGCCCAGCCAGUCUGACAGACCAUACACAGACAGCCCUGUUCACAGGGAGGCGUGGGCAAAGAUUUCAUGACGAAACAUCAAAAGCAAUUGCAACAAAAGCAAAAAUUGACAAAUAUGAUUUAAUUAAACAAAAGAGCUUCUGCACAGCAAAAGAAACCAUCAUCAGAGUGAACAGACACAACCUAUAGAACGGGAGAACACUUUUGCAAUCUAUCCAUCUGACAAAGGUCUAAUAUCCAGAGUCUACAAGGAACUUAAACAAAUUUACAAGAAAAAAACAAACUACCCCAUUAAACAGUGGGCAAAAAACAUGAACAGACACUUCUCAAAAGAAGACAUUUAUGCAUCCAAAAAACACGAUAAAAAGCUCAGCGUCACUGAUCAUUAGAGAAACGCAAAUCAAAACAACGAGAUACCAGUCAGAAUGGCAACUAUUAAAAAGUCAAGAGGCCAAGUGCAGUGGCUAAUGCCUGUAAUCCCAACACUUUGAGAGGCCGAGGUGAGCAGAUCACUUGAGGUCAGGAGUUCAAGACCAGCCUGGCCAAUGUGGUAAAACCCUGUGUCCACUAAAAAUGCAAAAAUUAGCUGGGCAUGGUGGUGCAUGCCUGUGGUCCUAGCUACUUGGGACCUGCUGAGGCAGGAGAAUCACUUGAACUCAGGAGGCAGAGGUUGCAGCGAGUUGAGAUUGUGCCACUACACUCCAACCUGGGUGACAGAGUGAAACUCUUGUCUCAAUAAAUAAAUAAGUAAAUAAAUAAAAAUAAAAAGUAAAGAAACAACAGAUGCUGGCAAGGCUAUGGAGAAAUGGGAACGCUUUCUAUACUGUUGUUGCAAAUAUACACUAGUUCAACCAUUGUGGAAGACAGUGUGAUGAUUCCUCAAAGACCUAGAACCAGAAAUACCAUUUGACCCAGCAAUCCCAUUACUGGGUAUAUAACCAAAGGAAUAGAAAUCAUUCUACUAAAAGAUACAUGCAUGCGUGUGUUCAUUGCAGCACUAUUCACAAUAGCAGACAUGGAACCAACCUAAAUGCCCAUCAAUAAUAGACUGGAUAAAGAAAAUGUGGUGCAUAUACACCAUGGAAUUCUAUGCAACCAUAAAAAGGAAUGUGAUCAUGUUCUUUGCAGGGACAUGGAUGAAGCUGAAAGCCAUUAUUCUCAGCAAACUAACACAGGAACAAAAAAACAAACACCACAUGUUCUCACUUAUAAGUGGGAGCUGAACAAUGAGAACACAUGGACACAGGGAGGGGAACAACAUACACUGCGGCCUAUCGGGGGGGCUGGGAGAGGGAGAGCAUCAGGAUAAAUAGCUAAUGCAUGCGGGCCUUAAUACGUAGGUGAUGGGUUGAUAGGUGCAGCAAACCACCAUGGCACAUGUUUACCUAUGUAACAAGCCUGCACAUCCUGCACAUGUAUCCUGGAACUUAAAAUCAAAAAAUAAAAUAAAAAAACGUGAUUAUGAAAAAA
This 1926-nucleotide long non-coding RNA is filed under the name Homo sapiens (human). RNAcentral describes it as "HSALNT0088486". The record is from RNAcentral. Lineage: Eukaryota; Metazoa; Chordata; Mammalia; Primates; Hominidae.